This 465-nucleotide ribosomal RNA is filed under the name Vreelandella stevensii. Its description in RNAcentral is "partial 16S ribosomal RNA". It matches the Rfam family "Bacterial small subunit ribosomal RNA", at positions 338 to 795 of the family's 1533-position model. The record is from RNAcentral. Lineage: Bacteria; Pseudomonadati; Pseudomonadota; Gammaproteobacteria; Oceanospirillales; Halomonadaceae.
CCUACGGGGGGCUGCAGUGGGGAAUAUUGGACAGUGGGCGAAAGCCUGAUCCAGCCAUGCCGCGUGUGUGAAGAAGGCCUUCGGGUUGUAAAGCACUUUCAGUGGGGAAGAAAGCCUUGGGGCUAAUACCCUCGAGGAAGGACAUCACCCACAGAAGAAGCACCGGCUAACUCCGUGCCAGCAGCCGCGGUAAUACGGAGGGUGCGAGCGUUAAUCGGAAUUACUGGGCGUAAAGCGCGCGUAGGCGGUCUGAUAAGCCGGUUGUGAAAGCCCCGGGCUCAACCUGGGAACGGCAUCCGGAACUGUCAGGCUAGAGUGCAGGAGAGGAAGGUAGAAUUCCCGGUGUAGCGGUGAAAUGCGUAGAGAUCGGGAGGAAUACCAGUGGCGAAGGCGGCCUUCUGGACUGACACUGACGCUGAGGUGCGAAAGCGUGGGUAGCAAACAGGAUUAGAUACCCUAGUAGUC